Molecule: small nuclear RNA, 107 nt
Organism: Sorex araneus (European shrew)
Lineage: Eukaryota; Metazoa; Chordata; Mammalia; Eulipotyphla; Soricidae
Source: Ensembl
GUGCUCAUUUCGGCAGCACACAUACUAAAAUUGGAAUGAUACAGAGAAAAUUAGCCUGGGCACUGCACAAGGAUAACUCAAAAAUAUGUGAAGACUUUCAUCAUUUU